AAAGUGGGGGAUAACAUUUGGAAACAGAUGCUAAUACCGCAUAAAACCUAGCACCGCAUGGUGCAAGGUUGAAAGAUGGUUUCGGCUAUCACUUUAGGAUGGACCCGCGGUGCAUUAGUUAGUUGGUGAGGUAAAGGCUCACCAAGACCGUGAUGCAUAGCCGACCUGAGAGGGUAAUCGGCCACACUGGGACUGAGACACGGCCCAGACUCCUACGGGAGGCAGCAGUAGGGAAUCUUCCACAAUGGACGAAAGUCUGAUGGAGCAACGCCGCGUGAGUGAAGAAGGUUUUCGGAUCGUAAAACUCUGUUGUUGGAGAAGAACGUAUUUGAUAGUAACUGAUCAGGUAGUGACGGUAUCCAACCAGAAAGCCACGGCUAACUACGUGCCAGCAGCCGCGGUAAUACGUAGGUGGCAAGCGUUGUCCGGAUUUAUUGGGCGUAAAGCGAGCGCAGGCGGUUUCUUAAGUCUGAUGUGAAAGCCUUCGGCUCAACCGAAGAAGUGCAUCGGAAACUGGGAAACUUGAGUGCAGAAGAGGACAGUGGAACUCCAUGUGUAGCGGUGAAAUGCGUAGAUAUAUGGAAGAACACCAGUGGCGAAGGCGGCUGUCUGGUCUGUAACUGACGCUGAGGCUCGAAAGCAUGGGUAGCAAACAGGAUUAGAUACCCUGGUAGUCCAUGCCGUAAACGAUGAGUGCUAGGUGUUGGAGGGUUUCCGCCCUUCAGUGCCGCAGCUAACGCAUUAAGCACUCCGCCUGGGGAGUACGACCGCAAGGUUGAAACUCAAAGGAAUUGACGGGGGCCCGCACAAGCGGUGGAGCAUGUGGUUUAAUUCGAAGCAACGCGAAGAACCUUACCAGGUCUUGACAUCCUUUGACCACUCUAGAGAUAGAGCUUUCCCUUCGGGGACAAAGUGACAGGUGGUGCAUGGU
RNAcentral lists this ribosomal RNA (931 nucleotides) under Latilactobacillus curvatus JCM 1096 = DSM 20019. RNAcentral describes it as "bacterial SSU rRNA". It matches the Rfam family "Bacterial small subunit ribosomal RNA", at positions 133 to 1049 of the family's 1533-position model. Lineage: Bacteria; Bacillati; Bacillota; Bacilli; Lactobacillales; Lactobacillaceae. The record is from RNAcentral.